Molecule: ribosomal RNA, 468 nt
Filed under: uncultured bacterium
Lineage: Bacteria
Description: partial 16S ribosomal RNA
Rfam family: Bacterial small subunit ribosomal RNA
Source: RNAcentral
GACGAACGCUGGCGGCGUGCUUAACACAUGCAAGUCGAACGGAAAGGCCCUGCUUUUGUGGGGUGCUCGAGUGGCGAACGGGUGAGUAACACGUGAGUAACCUGCCCUUGACUUUGGGAUAACUUCAGGAAACUGGGGCUAAUACCGGAUAGGAGCUCCUGCUGCAUGGUGGGGGUUGGAAAGUUUCGGCGGUUGGGGAUGGACUCGCGGCUUAUCAGCUUGUUGGUGGGGUAGUGGCUUACCAAGGCUUUGACGGGUAGCCGGCCUGAGAGGGUGACCGGCCACAUUGGGACUGAGAUACGGCCCAGACUCCUACGGGAGGCAGCAGUGGGGAAUAUUGCACAAUGGGCGGACGCCUGAUGCAGCAACGCCGCGUGCGGGAUGACGGCCUUCGGGUUGUAAACCGCUUUCGCCUGUGACGAAGCGUGAGUGACGGUAAUGGGUAAAGAAGCACCGGCCAACUACGUG